RNAcentral lists this unclassified non-coding RNA (222 nucleotides) under Hevea brasiliensis (rubber tree). Lineage: Eukaryota; Viridiplantae; Streptophyta; Magnoliopsida; Malpighiales; Euphorbiaceae. The record is from RNAcentral.
AAAACCCAGAGGAAAAUCAGCGGGGUAAUGUAUAGGUCAAAAAGGCAGAGGACUUUUUAAAAAGAGAUACAGAUGAACCUUGCUGAGUUACUGGAAGCUAACUAUAAGUGUAUGAUUCCUUGUAUUUGCUCAUGGAUAUCUGUUCUUUUUCUUCUUUCUGGUCUAAGUCUCCACAUGUAAUGAAUUCAUCCAUUGGAGAAAAAUAAUCUGUUUACGUUCCCA